RNAcentral lists this ribosomal RNA (490 nucleotides) under uncultured bacterium. RNAcentral's name for it is "partial 16S ribosomal RNA". It matches the Rfam family "Bacterial small subunit ribosomal RNA", at positions 28 to 507 of the family's 1533-position model. The record is from RNAcentral.
GAUGAACGCUAGCGAUAGGCUUAACACAUGCAAGUCGAGGGGCAGCAUGGUCUUAGCUUGCUAAGACUGAUGGCGACCGGCGCACGGGUGCGUAACGCGUAUGCAACUUGCCUCACAGAGGGGGAUAACCCGUCGAAAGACGGACUAAUACCGCGUACACUUGGGAUAGGGCAUCCUGACCCAAGGAAAUGAAAUUCGCUGUGAGAUAGGCAUGCGUCCCAUUAGCUAGUUGGUGAGGUAACGGCUCACCAAGGCGACGAUGGGUAGGGGAACUGAGAGGUUGAACCCCCACACUGGUACUGAGACACGGACCAGACUCCUACGGGAGGCAGCAGUGAGGAAUAUUGGUCAAUGGGCGAGAGCCUGAACCAGCCAAGUCGCGUGAAGGAUGACUGUCUUAUGGAUUGUAAACUUCUUUUAUACGGGAAUAACAAGAGCCACGUGUGGCUCCCUGCAUGUACCGUAUGAAUAAGCAUCGGCUAACUCCGCG